RNAcentral lists this ribosomal RNA (407 nucleotides) under uncultured bacterium. RNAcentral's name for it is "partial 16S ribosomal RNA". It matches the Rfam family "Bacterial small subunit ribosomal RNA", at positions 28 to 526 of the family's 1533-position model. The record is from RNAcentral.
GAUGAACGCUAGCGAUAGGCUUAACACAUGCAAGUCGAGGGACCGGCGCACGGGUGCGUAACGCGUAUGCAACUUGCCUCACAGAGGGGGAUAACCCGUCGAAAGACGGACUAAUACCGCGUACUGUGAGAUAGGCAUGCGUCCCAUUAGCUAGUUGGUGAGGUAACGGCUCACCAAGGCCACGAUGCAUAGCCGACCUGAGAGGGUGAUCGGCCACACUGGGACUGAGACACGGCCCAGACUCCUACGGGAGGCAGCAGUGAGGAAUAUUGGUCAAUGGGCGAGAGCCUGAACCAGCCAAGUCGCGUGAAGGAUGACUGUCUAUGGAUUGUAAACUUCUUUUGUAGGGGAAUAUGUACCCUACGAAUAAGCAUCGGCUAACUCCGUGCCAGCAGCCGCGGUAAUAC